RNAcentral lists this long non-coding RNA (263 nucleotides) under Papio anubis (olive baboon). RNAcentral describes it as "lncRNA (ENSPANG00000047629.1)". Lineage: Eukaryota; Metazoa; Chordata; Mammalia; Primates; Cercopithecidae. The record is from RNAcentral.
AGGCACGUAUCAAUGAAAGUCCCUAUCCGAAUGACCUGGCGGGAGUCAUUAUUGAUCGACCCACCGAUGACAGUUCACCCACUAAUGAAUUGACAACAGCAAACCCAGAGGCACGUAUCAAUGAAAGGUGAGUUAUAUUUAGAUAAAUAAAGACACACAUAUGCAUAACUGUGCAUAGAAGUAGUCACACACCCAGACACAUAAACAAAAUAUAUCCAUCCAUCCAUCCAUCCAUGCAUCCAUCCAUCCCCACUUCUCUGAAC